CAAUCGAACCCGGAGCUAGCUGGUUCUCCCCGAAAUGUGUUUAGGCGCAGCGGUUGUGAUUAUAGUCUGGGGGUAAAGCACUGUUUCGGUGCGGGCGGCGAAAGCUGUACCAAAUCGAGACAAACUCAGAAUACCAGAUGCACACACAACCAGACAGACGGUGGGGGAUAAGCUUCAUCGUCAAGAGGGAAACAGCCCAGACCACCAGCUAAGGUCCCCAAAUUGUCACUAAGUGAUAAAGGAGGUGGGAGUGCAAAGACAACCAGGAGGUUUGCCUAGAAGCAGCCAUCCUUAAAAGAGUGCGUAAUAGCUCACUGG
This 318-nucleotide ribosomal RNA is filed under the name Ochromonas sp. CCMP1393. Its description in RNAcentral is "partial Bacterial large subunit ribosomal RNA". It matches the Rfam family "Bacterial large subunit ribosomal RNA", at positions 830 to 1148 of the family's 2925-position model. Lineage: Eukaryota; Chrysophyceae; Chromulinales; Chromulinaceae. The record is from RNAcentral.